Molecule: ribosomal RNA, 492 nt
Filed under: uncultured bacterium
Lineage: Bacteria
Description: partial 16S ribosomal RNA
Rfam family: Bacterial small subunit ribosomal RNA
Source: RNAcentral
AGUGAACGCUGGCGGUAGGCCUAACACAUGCAAGUCGAACGGCAGCACCGUACGAGCUUGCUCUUACGGGUGGCGAGUGGCGGACGGGAGAGGAAUACAUCGGAAUCUACUUUUUCGUGGGGGAUAACGUAGGGAAACUUACGCUAAUACCGCAUACGACGUACGGGGGAAAGGAGGGGAACUUCGGACCUUGCGCGGAUGAAUGCGCCGAUGUCGGAUUAGCUGGUUGGGGGGGUGAAUGCCCACCCAGGCGACGAUCCGUAGCUGGUCUGAGAGGAUGAUCAGCCACACUGGAACUGAGACACGGUCCAGACGCCUACGGGAGGCAGCAGUGGGGAAUAUUGGACAAUGGGCGCAAGCCUGAUCCAGCCAUACCGCGUGGGUGAAGAAGGCCUUCGGGUUGUAAAGCCCUUUUGUUGGGAAAGAAAAGCAGCAGGUUAAUACCCCGCGGUUCUGACGGUACCCAAAGAAUAAGCACCGGCUAACUUCGUG